RNAcentral lists this transfer RNA (64 nucleotides) under Abronia oaxacae. RNAcentral describes it as "tRNA-Cys". Lineage: Eukaryota; Metazoa; Chordata; Lepidosauria; Squamata; Anguidae. The record is from RNAcentral.
AAGCCCCGGAGAUCUCGGAUCUCAACUCCAAGUUUGCAACUUGGUGUGUUAACACCUCGGAACC